This 478-nucleotide ribosomal RNA is filed under the name uncultured bacterium. RNAcentral's name for it is "partial 16S ribosomal RNA". It matches the Rfam family "Bacterial small subunit ribosomal RNA", at positions 28 to 523 of the family's 1533-position model. The record is from RNAcentral.
AACGAACGCUGGCGGCGUGCUUAACACAUGCAAGUCGAACGGUAAAGCCCUUCGGGGUACACGAGUGGCGAACGGGUGAGUAACACGUGGGUGAUCUGCCCUGCACUUCGGGAUAAGCCUGGGAAACUGGGUCUAAUACCGGAUAGGACCACUGCCUGCAUGGGUGGUGGUGGAAAGCUUUUGCGGUGUGGGAUGGGCCCGCGGCCUAUCAGCUUGUUGGUGGGGUGAUGGCCUACCAAGGCGACGACGGGUAGCCGGCCUGAGAGGGUGACCGGCCACACUGGGACUGAGAUACGGCCCAGACUCCUACGGGAGGCAGCAGUGGGGAAUAUUGCACAAUGGGCGCAAGCCUGAUGCAGCGACGCCGCGUGAGGGAUGACGGCCUUCGGGUUGUAAACCUCUUUCAGCACCGACGAAGCGCAAGUGACGGUAGGUGCAGAAGAAGGACCGGCCAACUACGUGCCAGCAGCCGCAGUAA